UUAGAGUAAAUAGACAAAAAACACAGCUCUUCAAAGACAAAUAAACUGCAAUUGUGCCUUAACCUUCAACUUUUCAAGCUCUAGGUAAAGUACCUGCCAUUCCAGUAGGAAUAUCAAAAGGACACUGUCGCCGCAAUGGACACCUGAAG
Long non-coding RNA from Diorhabda sublineata, 149 nucleotides. RefSeq lists it as uncharacterized. NCBI's taxonomy places the organism in Eukaryota, Metazoa, Arthropoda, Insecta, Coleoptera, Chrysomelidae. The transcript is spliced from 3 exons. The record is from RefSeq and is a predicted model, not a curated record.